Molecule: ribosomal RNA, 362 nt
Filed under: uncultured bacterium
Lineage: Bacteria
Description: bacterial SSU rRNA
Rfam family: Bacterial small subunit ribosomal RNA
Source: RNAcentral
AAUGAACGCUGGCGGCGCGCCUAAUACAUGCAAGUCGAGCGAGAAGACGUAGCAAUACGUUUGUAAAGCGGCGAACGGGUGAGGAAUACAUGGGUAACCUACCCUCGAGUGGGGAAUAACUAGCCGAAAGGUUAGCUAAUACCGCGUACGCUCCUUGGACUUCGGUUCAGGGAGGAAAGCGAUACCGUGGGUAUCGCGCUCUUGGUUGGGCUCAUGUCCUAUCAGCUUGUUGGUGAGGUAACGGCUCACCAAGGCUUCGACGGGUAGCUGGUCUGAGAGGACGAUCAGCCACACUGGCACUGCGACACGGGCCAGACUCCUACGGGAGGCAGCAGUAAGGAAUAUUGCGCAAUGGGCGAAAG